Molecule: ribosomal RNA, 484 nt
Filed under: uncultured bacterium
Lineage: Bacteria
Description: partial 16S ribosomal RNA
Rfam family: Bacterial small subunit ribosomal RNA
Source: RNAcentral
AGUGAACGCUGGCGGCAGGCCUAACACAUGCAAGUCGAGCGGCAGCGGGUCCUUCGGGCUGCCGGCGAGCGGCGGACGGGUGAGGAAUGCGUCGGAAUCUGCCUUUUUGUGGGGGAUAACGUAGGGAAACUUACGCUAAUACCGCAUACGACCUACGGGUGAACGUGGGGGACCGCAAGUCCUCACGCAGCAAGAUGAGCCGACGUCGGAUUAGCUAGUUGGCGGGGUAAAGGCCCACCAAGGCGACGAUCCGUAGCUGGUCUGAGAGGAUGAUCAGCCACACUGGAACUGAGACACGGUCCAGACUCCUACGGGAGGCAGCAGUGGGGAAUAUUGGACAAUGGGCGCAAGCCUGAUCCAGCCAUGCCGCGUGUGUGAAGAAGGCCUUCGGGUUGUAAAGCACUUUUGUCCGGAAAGAAAUCCUGUCGGCUAAUACCCGGCGGGGAUGACGGUACCGGAAGAAUAAGCACCGGCUAACUUCGUG